UUGAAAUCAAAGGCAGUUCCGUCAGCGCAGCAAAUCACCCAAAUGGUCACACCUGUAGGAUUUCCAGUAUGAAACUUAAAAGGAAAUUCUUUCUGGUGUCACUUGCAGUCACAGUGACAUGUUUUAUGGGAUAUUUCUACUGGACGGGCACGAUUCGAAUAUGCCAACAGAAUUUAAGGUGCAAUGAAAUACGAAAAAAGAUGUCCUUUGGUGCCAAGGAUGUCACCGUUCAUAGUCCAGACAGUAUAUUGGAGGUCAACAGGACCCAGAGGAGCCCUCAGAUGGCAACAACAAAAAAUGUCAACAGGACCAGAAAACCAUUAAUGCCUGAAGACUUUAAAUUU
Long non-coding RNA from Polypterus senegalus (gray bichir), 344 nucleotides. RefSeq lists it as uncharacterized. The record is from RefSeq and is a predicted model, not a curated record. The transcript has 2 exons. Lineage: Eukaryota; Metazoa; Chordata; Cladistia; Polypteriformes; Polypteridae.